AGCUUUUGUGCCCCUGAGGUAUUUGUAUUUUUCGCCUGACAUGUAAUAUCCGUGUGUUCCUUCUUGCAAAAAACCAUGCACUCUAAUUAUAGGAAAAUGGCUAUAUGGAAAGCGGGAAAUUUUCUGGUGAGAACAAUUGUGAUCUUUCCUUCUCUAAUCUAUUUUUGAGACACCGGAUGGGAAUGUACGAAGCACCAUUUCAUGAUCUUUGUAGGCUCGGAAUGAAUUCGAAUGGGCUCCUUUAUCUAUUUGUUCCAGUUUGUUCAAUGUUUGGAAAUAUGCAUGUAUAAGAAGAUGGUUUCCUUCCUGGCUGCCACUGCGUCCGUAGCUCGCAUCCCCAGGUAUGGCUUCCCCGGUACGGUCAAACAGACCAACAGAAUGUAAGUUUUUUCUCAGUUUACUCUUCACUUUGAAGAGGGCACCCAUUAGAUAUGCGCCAAGCACCGUUCGUGCCAAUGAACAGGCUCCUUUUGUUUGGGUGGUUGGUUCUUUUUAUAAAUUGUAUGCAAAUACCUAAGUCCUUCUGUUUCCCAGAUUUUGAUACGGAGAAAAAACAAAAUUGGUUAUUCUAAUGUUACUUGUUAACAACACCGUUUCUUAAUUUGAUAUUUUUAAUUUGAUCUGGUACCUCUGUCAAUUUAGGUCAUUUAAUCUGAAUAUAAAUCAAUGUUACUAGUACCACUACUAACCAUGUCGAGAGUAUAUGCUUAUUACUGCUUGUAUGAUCAUUCUGUCUGAGGCCAAGUCCUAAUUUAGUAGGGAGAAAAUAUGUUCUUUUAUGGGUUGGCACACAUGAUGAAGGGAGUCAUAUUUGUCCUACUGCUCAAGAAGCUCCACUUUGUCCUGAUUUUUAUCCACUUGCAUGAGCAUAAUGACUGGGAAAAUGGUAUCAUUUGGGGCAAUUCACUGGCAAAUGAAAGCCAGGCUUCUUUUGAAGGACAAGCUUUGUCUCAUUACAGUAGGAAUGUGCCCCCUGACCUGACCUGACUUUGACUCAUUGCCAAUGCCAUCUACAGGGCAACGUGACCAUCGCUGCCAAGUCUGGAGUCAAGGUGAAGAUCCGGAGCUAUGCUUGUGAACAAGGACAUCAAUGGUGAAAUCCAUAUUCAUGUACCGCUGUUGAGGAUGCCUGCCGAUUUUCCAAUUUAGGCCUCCAGCUGCUGCAGCUUAUGAUCUCGCUUAUAUUGCUUAGGCCUCGAGCUGCUGCCGCUUAUGAUCUCCCUUAUAUUGCUUAGGCCUCCACAUAUCUGGAUUGCGGCUCUAUUCCGUUAAUCAGAUGUGUUGUAUAUUCGCCCAACAUCUGGCUGUAAUAAUGCCUGACUAAAAACUGCUUAGUUAAUUUUUGUUCUUUUUUGGUAGGAGUUUUCACCCCAGUUCUAUGCUUGUACCAGUCUUGGAACAUUUUCAAUACCACACGGUUUGUUUUUUCAUUGGUCA
This is a long non-coding RNA of Lolium rigidum, 1437 nucleotides long. RefSeq lists it as uncharacterized. NCBI's taxonomy places the organism in Eukaryota, Viridiplantae, Streptophyta, Magnoliopsida, Poales, Poaceae. The record is from RefSeq and is a predicted model, not a curated record. The transcript has 2 exons.